AAACCAUGAUGAGGGCACUGUCUUUGAAGACUCUUGAAUCUAUCCCAUGCUUCAAAUAAUGAUUCUCCAUAUGCCCGAGCAAAAUUAUUACUCAUAUAAUAU
Zingiber officinale is the source of this 102-nucleotide small nucleolar RNA. The record is from RefSeq and is a predicted model, not a curated record. Lineage: Eukaryota; Viridiplantae; Streptophyta; Magnoliopsida; Zingiberales; Zingiberaceae.